CAGAGCUGCAAACUCCCAACCCUUUGUGAACUACCUUGCACAGUUUUGCCUCGGCGGGGGGAGCACCCUCAAGGAGGCCGGACCCUCUCGGCGGGCCCGGGCAAAGCUCCUGUAGAGGACGAAACACUAAUUACUGGACCUAUGAGUAACUUAUACAAUAAGUUA
This 165-nucleotide unclassified non-coding RNA is filed under the name soil metagenome. RNAcentral describes it as "partial internal transcribed spacer 1". The record is from RNAcentral.